Molecule: transfer RNA, 89 nt
Filed under: Streptococcus zalophi
Lineage: Bacteria; Bacillati; Bacillota; Bacilli; Lactobacillales; Streptococcaceae
Also listed under: 2 other names
Description: Streptococcus sp. CSL 7508 tRNA
Rfam family: tRNA
About the family: Transfer RNA (tRNA) molecules are approximately 80 nucleotides in length.
Source: Rfam by way of RNAcentral
GGAGAGGUCGCAUAGUGGCUGAGUGCGCUGGCUUGGAAAGCCAGUAGUGUCUGUAUGGGCACUCGUGGGUUCGAAUCCCAUUCUCUCCU